GCUGGGCAUGGUGCCACAUGCCUGUAAUCCCAGCAUCUCAGGAGGCUGAGGCAGGAGGAUCACUAGUUCAAAGCCAACCUCAGCUAAAGCAAGGCACUAAGCAACUCAGUGAGACUCUGUCUCUA
Molecule: small RNA, 125 nt
Filed under: Marmota monax (woodchuck)
Lineage: Eukaryota; Metazoa; Chordata; Mammalia; Rodentia; Sciuridae
Source: RNAcentral